CUUCGAUAGAAUUUAAAUAAUCUUUUCUUUUAGUAAGACAUGGUAUAUAAGGAAGACUUUUUUGUGAAGCAUUUCUAUGCGCUGACAACACUGGCAAUUCUAUUUGCUACGAUUCUGUUGUUGCUGCCGAACCUACGCAAUAAAAUACAAAUGAAGCUGGGCACAAUUCACAACAAGUUGAUUAACUAUACGCCAGUUAACUAUACAGAUUAUUUGUCGCCCGUCUCAAGGCGGAGAUUAAAGCUAGUAAGCCGCAAAACUCUGGUACUCGAUAUGGACGACACAUUGAUCAAGUCGCAUUUCCAUUACCAAAGAGAACCCUGGAGAAAUAGGACGCGCAAGAAUAAGUCUAUCAAGCCCGAUUUUAGUUUCUAUAUACGGAACAAAGAUGUCUUCGUCUCAGUGUUUAAGCGACCGCAUUUGGAUUACUUUCUGGACUGUGUUUCCAAGUGGUACAAUGUGAUGAUCUUCACCGCGGCCACCGAGAUUUAUGCAUCCGAAGUGCUCGAUCGCUUAGAGAGCAAUCGCAAGAUAUUCCAGCGACGUUUCUAUCGACAACAUUGCAUCGAAAUCAGCGGGAUUCUAGCCAAACUUGUGUCGGUGUGCGAUGAUGAUCCUGCCAAUGUUUUGCUGCUAGACGAUUGCCACUUGGCCAAUCAAUUCAAUGCGGGCAAUGCGGUGCAGAUAAAACGAUAUAAAAUCGGAACCCGGGAUGAGGAACUACUCGCCAUGCUGCCCUUGCUCGAUGCGCUGCGUUUUACGUCCGAUGUUCGCUCGGUGCUGGGACGAGUCACCAAGAGGUGUGACUGUCUAACAACAGCCUUGGCCUCGAUGACCCCCCGAGCAUUACAUCGCCAGAGAUAUAGAGGACGUAACUGCGACUGGCCCAUUGAGUGUUGAGUCAUGGUGUUGGCUUAGUCACGUCCAAGUGGGCAAGUGAAUCAGCGCCUAGUUGCUUUAUCAGCGACUAGAGUGUUGCUGCUGUUUUAUCAGAGGUGGUCAAAAAUGUGGCUGAAACUGAAAACCCGGCUGUGUGAAAUGUGUAUUUCUCUUGCUAAGCUACUUUGGGUGCGGCAAUUAAGUCACCACAAACAGCAGCGGCGGUGGCGGGAGGUGGAGCGGCACCAUUUCCAGUGAAGAUCAUUAUUGUCUCGCCGCGGAUGUUGUGAAUGCUGCAGCAGCCAAAAAAGAAAAAAAAACAAAAACAACAACAGAAAAGAGCUAAAGAGCCGCAGAAACAAGUUAAUGAACCCGUUGCCCGCGUCGCGGAUCCUUGAACUCCCAGCGAGUUGUCCAACUAGUUUGGGACGCGUCUGCAGUCGGAGGCAGAAGCCAGAAGCAGAACGAGGGAGAACCAGAACCAAAUCUGUGGCAUGAAUUCUGUGGAAAUGAUCGAAAUUUCAUUUCAAGCUCCACACACAAAAUUGAGUUCAACAGCAUUCCGGUUGCCGGUUGCCAAGUCUCCCGGUCUUCAGUCUACAGUCUGCUGUUGCUCCUCCUCCUCCUCUGACCAGCCCCCACACCGUCUGCUGGUCUGUGAUCAAGUUGGGACCGAGGCUUAGAAGAGAGCUUGCCUUCUGCUGCUGUGGCUGCUGCUGCUGUUCUGUUUUGCUCGCUGCUUUGUUGGGUUAACUUUCCAUUAUCCUUGAGGCUCAAGUCAAUGCCCUCGUCUCGCAUUACACAAUUGCAGGCGGGCGGCAGUGGCAGCAACAGCAGGAACUGCGUGUGCAUCUCGAGUUCGCCGCUGGCCGCUUAUUCCCUCCUCUCCACCUCGUUGCCCCUUUUUACUGUGGUUCGCUCAAGUUACACAGAACUCCAGUGGCCUACUUCCACUUGAAUGGAACAAAUGGGAAUAUGGGAAUGGGAUGCGUUGCGUUUACGUUGUGGGCAUGGGCAUGGGAAUGGGAAAUGGAAUGGGAUGGGAAUGGCCCGCCCGUCCGCUUGGAACAAAAGCUUUUGUCAGGCAACCCCAACCCAUCAACAAUCAGCAAAAGCGAUCCUGUGGCCAGCGCGACAAAGACAAAGAAACUCAUUUUGUCGCAUGCAAAAAUUAAUACAAAACAAAUGCGAACGAGAGAGCGAACACACACAUACAUACAUACAAUUGCAAAACACACUCUCGCACUCUCACACCAACACAAGCGCAUAUAAUUUUAUUUUUAUAACUGACCUCGAACUUUUGUGCAAUGUGAUUGAACUGCGGCUUUCUGCUUCAGCUUCUGCUGCUGUUGCUGCUGCGAUAUCUGUGAGCUUGAGCCACGUUCCCCACUCCCCGAUCGCUGCCCUUUCCCCGCAAACAUUUGCAUGCAGACUGCAUGCGAAACUGUCGGAAAGUGGCAGCGAUAAUGUCGCCGCUGAGCUUGGGAUCAGAAUCGACAUCAGAAUCGGAAUCGGGAUCUGGAUGCGUUGACAAACAAUAUGGAAAUUUCGCACUGCCAGAGGGGGAGAGUUCCAGAAGUCCAAAUGGUAAUCAUCAUCGCGAUGAUGAUGAUGAUGAUGACGUCGAGUGCAGCAACGACAACGUUAAAUGCAUAAUAAAUGCGGUUUUCAAGUAGUUUGGAAAAAUAAAAUGCGUGCGGCGACUCAAAUGCACUUUCAAUGAGCUAAAACAAAAAAAAAAAAUUUAAUUUAAGCAAAACAGCAACUGCAACGCGUAGAUCAGAACACGUGCCGCAUUUUAAGAGGCAACAAACAAGCGCCAGGAAACAAAACAAACCCAGGAAGAACGUGACCAAAGCAACUGCAACACCGUGUAUUUGUGUUUUUGCGCAAAACCCAGGGAAGAAAAUCGGAAAACACAACGAGCAAAAAGUUAUUAAUGUAUUGUUGGAGCAGCGUCAGCGUCGCCAGUAUUUUACGCAACUUCUAGGGUCUCGUUGUUUGUAUCUCACACAAUAUUUAGUCACCUCAAGUGUGUCAGCAGCAAGCAGCUAAUUGCGGUGCUCUGAAUAACAAAUUCCAGAUAAAGAUACUUGAAGCGUAUAACUGAUAACCACCAGCCCCUGGAACACCCCGCCCCAAAAAGCAGCAACAUCAGUUAGUCAGGGAGCCAGCAC
Drosophila albomicans is the source of this 3056-nucleotide RNA transcript. It is a transcript of the gene named probable protein phosphatase 2C T23F11.1, with no coding region annotated. NCBI's taxonomy places the organism in Eukaryota, Metazoa, Arthropoda, Insecta, Diptera, Drosophilidae. The transcript is spliced from 5 exons. The record is from RefSeq and is a predicted model, not a curated record.